AAAUUGGGAGCUGAUGGCUCGGAUUUAGAUGUUGACGAUGUUAGGUAUAAUAUACCGGAGAAGAUGUCAGUGAUGAAGAGAUUGAAGCUUCAGAAUUGGAGAAGCGGAUGUGGAAGGAUCGUAUCAAACUCAAAAGGAUCAAAGAGAAAGAAAAGCUUUUAG
This is a non-coding RNA of Vicia faba (fava bean), 162 nucleotides long. The record is from the annotation of a GenBank genome assembly. Lineage: Eukaryota; Viridiplantae; Streptophyta; Magnoliopsida; Fabales; Fabaceae.